This 30-nucleotide non-coding RNA is filed under the name Macaca fascicularis (crab-eating macaque). Lineage: Eukaryota; Metazoa; Chordata; Mammalia; Primates; Cercopithecidae. The record is from RNAcentral. RNAcentral also lists the same sequence under 1 other name.
UGGCCACCAAGAUACAAUAGAUGUUGAGGC